UGAUAUAUAUUCUAAAAUUUCUUCUUGUUAAGAGCAAAAAAGAAUGGUGCCUAGUUCAUGUCGCAGAUUGUGUGGGGAAUUUGGGGAGACUAUUUUGCAUUCUUUCUUUGUAUGUGCAAAUGCCGAGUAGGUGUGGGAAAUUUCUCCAAUUAGUUUCGCAUGGCUGUCUUGUAUGCUUAUGGGAUCGAUGUGUGGAAACUUUUCCAACCUAUGCAUACGUUCAUUUUGCUUCUUAGAGUCCUUAAAACCCCUAGUAUAUAUUCACACACCAAGAAAGAUAGGGAUAGAGGGUAGAACAAAACUAGAGCCCGAAUCUCAGGGGGAUUAACUCCGUUAGACGUGUUCUAGGGGUUGCCUCUCUUGUCCAGUGAAUCUUUGCCCCAUACACGCAGUAGCGGCUCGACCUCUAGGCGACUUAGGCAGUUGCCUAGGGCUCCACUGUACAUGAAGGCCUCACGAGAUGAUUAUUUUGUAUAUAAAAUAGGAAAGUGAAUUUAAAAGUCAUGAUUAUUCAUUUAAUUUAUUAUUAUUUUGUAAUUAUCUU
Molecule: long non-coding RNA, 544 nt
Filed under: Citrus x clementina
Lineage: Eukaryota; Viridiplantae; Streptophyta; Magnoliopsida; Sapindales; Rutaceae
Description: Citrus clementina (C. clementina) long non-coding RNA (CCLE_LNC005658)
Source: RNAcentral